Molecule: ribosomal RNA, 497 nt
Filed under: uncultured bacterium
Lineage: Bacteria
Description: partial 16S ribosomal RNA
Rfam family: Bacterial small subunit ribosomal RNA
Source: RNAcentral
GAUGAACGCUGGCGGCGUGCCUAAUACAUGCAAGUCGAGCGAACGGACGAGAAGCUUGCUUCUCUGAUGUUAGCGGCGGACGGGUGAGUAACACGUGGAUAACCUACCUAUAAGACUGGGAUAACUUCGGGAAACCGGAGCUAAUACCGGAUAAUAUUUUGAACCGCAUGGUUCAAAAGUGAAAGACGGUCUUGCUGUCACUUAUAGAUGGAUCCGCGCUGCAUUAGCUAGUUGGUACGGUAACGGCUUACCAAGGCAACGAUGCAUAGCCGACCGGAGAGGGGGGUAGGCCACACUAGAACUGGGACGCGGUCCAGACUCCUACGGGACGCAGCAGUAGGGAAUCUUCCGCAAUGGGCGAAAGCCUGACGGAGCAGCGCCGCGUGAGUGAUGAAGGUCUUCGGAUCGUAAAACUCUGUUAUGAGGGAAGAACAUAUUUGUAAGGAACUGUGCACAUCUUGACGGUACCUAGUCAGAAAGCCACGGCUAACUACGUG